RNAcentral lists this long non-coding RNA (266 nucleotides) under Coffea arabica (coffee). RNAcentral's name for it is "long non-coding RNA (CARA_LNC004548)". The record is from RNAcentral. Lineage: Eukaryota; Viridiplantae; Streptophyta; Magnoliopsida; Gentianales; Rubiaceae.
AGGGGGAAAAAAGCUAAAAAUAAGGAUAAAAUGAAAAAUAGGCAAGAAAAGAAAUAAUCAGCAUGAAAAAUGAAAAGGGAUAAUUUCACAAACAUCCCUUGAGAUUUUUAAUAGUUACAAAAAGCUCCCCUCAAAAUUUAAAAAUUACAUAUACUUUGCAUACUUUUACUAUUUAUAUAAGAGCAAAUUAUUUGAGCAGCCAUUGAACUAUUUGAAUAGUAAAAAUUUGGCCCUUCAAUUAUUCAUAACAUAUUUUUACCCAUUGA